UACGAAGGGUGCAAACGUUGUUCGGAAUUACUGGGCGUAAAGCGCACGUAGGCGGCUAUUCAAGUCGGGGGUGAAAGCCCGGGGCUCAACCCCGGAACUGCCCUCGAAACUAGAUAGCUAGAAUCUUGGAGAGGCGAGUGGAAUUCCGAGUGUAGAGGUGAAAUUCGUAGAUAUUCGGAAGAACACCAGUGGCGAAGGCGACUCGCUGGACAAGUAUUGACGCUGAGGUGCGAAAGCGUGGGGAGCAAACAGG
This 253-nucleotide ribosomal RNA is filed under the name uncultured bacterium. RNAcentral describes it as "partial 16S ribosomal RNA". It matches the Rfam family "Bacterial small subunit ribosomal RNA", at positions 524 to 776 of the family's 1533-position model. The record is from RNAcentral.